This 995-nucleotide long non-coding RNA is filed under the name Homo sapiens (human). Its description in RNAcentral is "HSALNT0208772". The record is from RNAcentral. Lineage: Eukaryota; Metazoa; Chordata; Mammalia; Primates; Hominidae.
UUCCAGAAAAUAUUUCAAGCAGAAUAUACUUAUUUUCCAGUUUUGAAAACAACUAGAUUGCCCAUCUCCAUUUCUCUCUAUCAUCUACUGUAUUAUUCUAUGGACAACUGCCACCCUAAUAAGGUCAAAGGAAACCAUGAGAGACUGUCUAACUAGACUUUUUGCUUGAUUUCCUGGACCCAAGAGCAGGAGUGAGGAGCUUUCUCCUGGUAAUUUUGUUAUAGAGCAAUCAAUGAGCUUGCUUCCUCAUGCACAUGGAGGCCAACACCAUGACAAAGGCUUUUGAGAAAAGAAAAGCUUUAUGGAGACCUGACUGGCAAGGAAACAGAAGAAAAUUCUCAUUUCUGUCUCUCUGAGCUGGGGUCUGGACCAGAUUUUAUAUGCAUAGGGUCAAGAAGGGAAGCCAGAAGUCAAGGCCACAGAAGACACAGGAAACAUCAUUUCCAAAGUGGGAGACAAAGCUGUUAACAGGAAAUUAUUUGUAAAGUCAAGAGCCAAGCAAAACAGAAAAAGGACAAGAAAUCUAUCACCUGGAUUAGUUAUAAAUAAAGAACAUAUAGCCAGCUAAUUACCACAGCCACCCCAUCCUUCACACUGAAGCAAGACCCUCCACCAGCAAAAGGAUUAUGACUUGGUGAAGGCUCAGAUGAUCAUUAGCACUUUUAGCAACAAAGUAUUUUUAAAUUAAGGUUUUUUGAAACAUGCAACUUUAUGAAUCGCUUGUCUUCCUUGAGGUGCAAAAAGAAAAUACAAUAGGAGUCCUGAACCAAUUAAAUGAACAUCAUGAGUAGAAGAGAAAGAAAUGUGUAAGAUAGAUGGAGAUUGCUACCAAAUGUUAACAGCCCCAAAGACGGCUAUGUUUUUAAAGGAACUACAGUAUCUUAUCGUUCUGAUGGUCUGGAAGUUUAUAUUCACAUCCAAGAAUUCUUCCUGCUUCUCCGAAAACUCAUCCUUUGCUUUAUUACUCUUCAUGGGAAUAAGGAAACAGCUGUGCA